GGCGUAAAGCGAGCGCAGGCGGUUAGAUAAGUCUGAAGUUAAAGGCUGUGGCUUAACCAUAGUACGCUUUGGAAACUGUUUAACUUGAGUGCAGAAGGGGAGAGUGGAAUUCCAUGUGUAGCGGUGAAAUGCGUAGAUAUAUGGAGGAACACCGGUGGCGAAAGCGGCUCUCUGGUCUGUAACUGACGCUGAGGCUCGAAAGCGUGGGGAGCAAACAGGAUUAGAUACCCUGGUAGUCCGCACAGUAAACGAUGGAUGCCCGCUGUUGGUACCUGGUAUCAGCGGCUAAGCGAAAGCAUUAAGCAUCCCACCUGGGGAGUACGCCGGCAACGGUGAAACUCAAAGGAAUUGACGGGGGCCCGCACAAGCGGAGGAACAUGUGGUUUAAUUCGAUGAUACGCGAGGAACCUUACCCGGGCUUGAAUUGCAGAGGAAGGAUUUAGAGAUA
RNAcentral lists this ribosomal RNA (448 nucleotides) under uncultured bacterium. Its description in RNAcentral is "bacterial SSU rRNA". It matches the Rfam family "Bacterial small subunit ribosomal RNA", at positions 557 to 1008 of the family's 1533-position model. The record is from RNAcentral.